RNAcentral lists this ribosomal RNA (268 nucleotides) under uncultured bacterium. RNAcentral's name for it is "partial 16S ribosomal RNA". It matches the Rfam family "Bacterial small subunit ribosomal RNA", at positions 335 to 598 of the family's 1533-position model. The record is from RNAcentral.
GCUCCCUACGGGAGGCAGCAGUGAGGAAUAUUGGUCAAUGGGCGGAAGCCUGAACCAGCCAAGUCGCGUGAGGGAAUAAGGCCCUACGGGUCGUAAACCUCUUUUGCCGGGGAGCAGGGGCCGGGACGCGUCCCGGCCCGGAGAGUACCCGGAGAAAAAGCAUCGGCUAACUACGUGCCAGCAGCCGCGGUAAUACGUAGGGGGCAAGCGUUAUCCGGAAUUAUUGGGCGUAAAGAGUACGUAGGUGGCAACCUAAGCGCAGGGUUUA